Long non-coding RNA from Nyctereutes procyonoides (raccoon dog), 1133 nucleotides. RefSeq lists it as uncharacterized. The transcript is spliced from 5 exons. The record is from RefSeq and is a predicted model, not a curated record. NCBI's taxonomy places the organism in Eukaryota, Metazoa, Chordata, Mammalia, Carnivora, Canidae.
UCAAGCUUGAGAACCACUGCCUCCGUGGAGCAUCUUCCUGGGCACCCUGAGCACCGGCUGGGAUGCAGACCCACGUUGCUAUCUGAUCUCAUCAGGCUUCUGCCAAGAGGCUAAAUGUCACAGAAGUCCCAGGGAUAGAUUCAGCAAGGACAGAGCCCCCAGAAGGCAGAGGAAAGGAUAGAACAGAGUGGACGUGGACAGACGUCGGUUCAGGAUGAAGCCUGAGAACACCCGAGCGCACCUGACCAUCCUGGCCCCUGCCCUGUGCUGUGCAGGCCCGGGGACACGCUGCGCUGGGGGCCGCAGAGUGUGGCAGAGGCUCUCGGGGGCAAUUGGACGUGAGCUAAGCCUUGGAAGAUUUGAAUGACUUACUUUGCCUGUUUGGAGGCAGGAAAGGGGGGAAACAACCUUAAACGACCUAUUUGAGGAGAGAGAGUGUCAUCACUGUGCUUGUGCAAUCGUGUCUGAAAGCUGGAUUCCUCUGGACCAACAAGGUACCCACGGACAGUGUCCUUUGGACCAAGUACUGUAUCAACCGUCGUUGUGGGUUAAACUCCAGAUCAUCCGUGUGCUAAUGACACCCAAUCUCUGAAGUCCAGACUUUUCUCUUCACAUUUACACACUCCUAUAUUCACGUAGGGGUAUUUUAGUCCUGAAGUGAACCUGUGUUCCUAGUUCCUAGAAACCCCUAAGGCUCUUGGUUUCCUUCUGGUUUAGUGGAACAAUGGAGAAAACCUAUAACCAGUUCUAGCUUCAAGCACCAUUCCCAUUCUGGUUCACACUGUAACUCUGAAAAAUCAGUUUUUUUCACAGUUUCAUCUCAUAUCCACCAGAAGAGACAAAAGAUCAUAAAAAUGGAAUUUAUUUGAGUUCAUCUUCCAACAACGUGGCCAGUUACUGCUUUAUUUAGCUUUAUUUACUUAGUUACUGCUUUACUUGUUUUUGAACAUUUAAUACAGUGCAGACAUUGGUCUAUGUAAGCGUUUUAUGUGCAUGCUACCAUUUAAUUUUUACAACAGCCUGUGAGGUAGGUGCCAUUGUCAUUCUCAUUUUAUACUUAAAAUGCCUGAGACUUAGAGAUAUUAACUGUGGUCAUACAGCCAGCAAGCAGCAGAGCUGUGGUUAAAACUCAC